CAGUAGCCACGGGAAUACGAAGGGGGCUAGCGUUGUUCGGAAUUACUGGGCGUAAAGCGCAUGUAGGCGGAUAUUUAAGUCAGGGGUGAAAUCCCGCAGCUCAACUGCGGAACUGCCUUUGAUACUGGGUAUCUUGAGUAUGGAAGAGGUGAGUGGAAUUCCGAGUGUAGAGGUGAAAUUCGUAGAUAUUCGGAGGAACACCAGUGGCGAAGGCGGCUCACUGGUCCAUUACUGACGCUGAGGUGCGAAAGCGUGGGGAGCAAACAGGAUUAGAUACCCGCGUAGUCCCUGUCUCUUAUAC
Molecule: ribosomal RNA, 301 nt
Filed under: uncultured bacterium
Lineage: Bacteria
Description: partial 16S ribosomal RNA
Rfam family: Bacterial small subunit ribosomal RNA
Source: RNAcentral